Molecule: ribosomal RNA, 503 nt
Filed under: uncultured bacterium
Lineage: Bacteria
Description: partial 16S ribosomal RNA
Rfam family: Bacterial small subunit ribosomal RNA
Source: RNAcentral
AUUGAACGCUGGCGGCAGGCUUAACACAUGCAAGUCGAGCGGGGUGAUGGUGCUUGCACUAUCACUUAGCGGCGGACGGGUGAGUAAUGCUUAGGAAUCUGCCUAUUAGUGGGGGACAACAUCUCGAAAGGGAUGCUAAUACCGCAUACGUCCUACGGGAGAAAGCAGGGGAUCACUUGUGACCUUGCGCUAAUAGAUGAGCCUAAGUCGGAUUAGCUAGUUGGGGGGGGAAAGGCCUACCACGGCGACGAUCUGUAGAGGGUCUGAGAGGAUGAUCCGCCAAACUGGGACUGAGACACGGCCCAGACUCCUACGGGAGGCAGCAGUGGGGAAUAUUGGACAAUGGGGGGAACCCUGAUCCAGCCAUGCCGCGUGUGUGAAGAAGGCCUUAUGGUUGUAAAGCACUUUAAGCGAGGAGGAGGCUCUUUUGGUUAAUACCCAAGAUGAGUGGACGUUACUCGCAGAAUAAGCACCGGCUAACUCUGUGCCAGCCGCCGCGGUAA